GGCGUAGAGGGCUCGCAGGCGGUUUCUUAAGUCUGAUGUGAAAGCCCCCGGCUCAACCGGGGAGGGUCAUUGGAAACUGGGAAACUUGAGUGCAGAAGAGGAGAGUGGAAUUCCACGUGUAGCGGUGAAAUGCGUAGAGAUGUGGAGGAACACCAGUGGCGAAGGCGACUCUCUGGUCUGUAACUGACGCUGAGGAGCGAAAGCGUGGGGAGCGAACAGGAUUAGAUACCCUGGUAGUCCACGCCGUAAACGAUGAGUGCUAAGUGUUAGGGGGUUUCCGCCCCUUAGUGCUGCAGCUAACGCAUUAAGCACUCCGCCUGGGGAGUACGGUCGCAAGACUGAAACUCAAAGGAAUUGACGGGGGCCCGCACAAGCGGUGGAGCAUGUGGUUUAAUUCGAAGCAACGCGAAGAACCUUACCAGGUCUUGACAUCCUCUGACAACCCUAGAGAUAGGGCUUUCCCUUCGGGGACAGAGUGACAGGUGGUGCAUGGUUGUCGUCAGCUCGUGUCGUGAGAUGUUGGGUUAAGUCCCGCAACGAGCGCAACCCUUGAUCUUAGUUGCCAGCAUUCAGUUGGGCACUCUAAGGUGACUGCCGGU
RNAcentral lists this ribosomal RNA (599 nucleotides) under Bacillus pumilus. Its description in RNAcentral is "bacterial SSU rRNA". It matches the Rfam family "Bacterial small subunit ribosomal RNA", at positions 557 to 1156 of the family's 1533-position model. The record is from RNAcentral. Lineage: Bacteria; Bacillati; Bacillota; Bacilli; Caryophanales; Bacillaceae.